This 1203-nucleotide long non-coding RNA is filed under the name Monodelphis domestica (gray short-tailed opossum). RNAcentral's name for it is "lncRNA (ENSMODG00000040955.1)". The record is from RNAcentral. Lineage: Eukaryota; Metazoa; Chordata; Mammalia; Didelphimorphia; Didelphidae.
CCCUUUCCCCACUAAGCCUCCCUUCUUGCUCCCUCCCCAACCUUCUCGAUGAGUGCUAAGGAGGACAAUCACCAGGACAGUCACUUUGUUGUAGUCAGAGCUCCGACAAGGUUUGCCUUUGGACUUUGGUCCAACUCUGGCCUUCCCCUGCCUCCAAGUUCUCUCUUGGCUGGCUCUGUUCUGCCCUGAACUUCAGGAAGGUGGGGUUAAGACCAGCUUCUGUGAGGUCACUACCUUUCUCAUGGAACAUUCCCUGGUUGCUAUGACAAUGGGGCCCAAACAAACCACAUUCUCAGCCAGGUGAGGCUGGCCACACUUGGCACUGCACUCUCCAAAGAGGACACUGGUAUUGAUUCUAAGACAGAAGGGAAGGGCUUCAAAGAAAGAAAAGGAAAGAAGGAGUUGACUGGCACAUGGGACAGGGAGGAACUGCUGAAAGAUGUUUCUCCCUUAAGUUCUGGAGACUCCAAGGAUUGCCAGGAGGGGCCCAGCCGGCCAUUAAAGCUACUAUCAGAAGAGGACGCAGCAGCCACAGGAGGUUACAUUAUGGUGCCCAACAGAUUAUAAAUCACCUGAGGAGAUGUAUUGGGUUCAAGAUUGGAGAUGGAUCAACAGACCUGCACUUGGUCAGUGAGGACAAGAUAUAUACAAAAGAGCCAUUGCACAGGGCCAAAGAAGCACAAAGCUAAACCUGAACUGUGCCAAAAGAGCACAUAGAUCAACAAAAAAACCAAUCCAGGAAGGAAUGAUGCACUUCUAAGCCAAUACAAAGGACUUGAACCUAGUGUGAGAAUCGAGGUUGCAACGCUUAACUUACAUUAAGAUGUAGGCCUUCCUUGUAUUGGCUAAUCAGCCAUGGGUACAAACAUGGUUUAUUUUGUAUCCUUGAUUUCUAAUAAUCUUAAUGAACCUCAUAAACUAUAAUACUUUUGUUACUAGAAAUUAAUUUAACUUUUACAGUAUCACAUCACAACCAAAUGCCACUGUUUAUUUAGUCCUUGCCCAGUUGAUGGACAGCUCCUUAAUUUCCAGUUCUUUGCCACCACCAAGAGAGCUAUCAUAAAUAUUUUGGAACAUGGAGCUUCUUUUCCUUUUUCUUUGACCUCCUUGGGAAAUAGGCCCAGCAAUGACAUUGCUGGAUUCUAAGGGCAUACAGAGUCUUAGUUCACAGCUCCCCAUAACAGUGUAUCAGUGUUUCCACAU